AACGAACGCUGGCGGCAGGCCUAACACAUGCAAGUCGAGCGAGGACUUCGGUCCUAGCGGCGGACGGGUUAGUAACGCGUGGGAAUAUGCCCAAAGGUACGGAAUAGCCUCUGGAAACGGAGAGUAAUACCGUAUGUGCCCUUUCGGGGGGAAAGAUUUAUCGCCUUUGGAUUAGCCCGCGUUGGAUUAGGUAGUUGGUGGGGUAACGGCCUACCAAGCCGACGAUCCAUAGCUGGUUUGAGAGGAUGAUCAGCAACACUGGGACUGAGACACGGCCCAGACUCCUACGGGAGGCAGCAGUGGGGAAUCUUCGGCAAGGGGCGCAAGCCUGAUGCAGCAACGCCGCGUGAGGGAUGACGGCCUUCGGGUUGUAAACCUCUUUUAGUAGGGAAGAAGCCGUAAGGUGACGGUACCUGCAGAAAAAGCACCGGCUAACUACGUGCCAGCAGCCGCGGUAAUACGUAGGGUGCAAGCGUUGUCCGGAAUUAUUGGGCGUAAAGAGCUCGUAGGCGGUUUGUCGCGUCUGCCGUGAAAUCCCGAGGCUCAACUUCGGGCUUGCGGUGGGUACGGGCAGGCUAGAGUGCGGUAGGGGAGAUUGGAAUUCCUGGUGUAGCGGUGGAAUGCGCAGAUAUCAGGAGGAACACCGAUGGCGAAGGCAGAUCUCUGGGCCGUUACUGACGCUGAGGAGCGAAAGCAUGGGGAGCGAACAGGAUUAGAUACCCUGGUAGUCCAUGCCGUAAACGUUGGGAACUAGAUGUAGGGCCUGUUCCACGGGUUCUGUGUCGUAGCUAACGCAUUAAGUUCCCCGCCUGGGGAGUACGGCCGCAAGGCUAAAACUCAAAGGAAUUGACGGGGGCCCGCACAAGCGGCGGAGCAUGCGGAUUAAUUCGAUGCAACGCGAAGAACCUUACCAAGGCUUGACAUAUACGAGAACGGGUCAGAAAUGAUCAACUCUUUGGACACUCGUAUACAGGUGGUGCAUGGUUGUCGUCAGCUCGUGUCGUGAGAUGUUCGGUUAAGUCCGGCAACGAGCGCAACCCUUGUCCUAUGUUGCCAGCACGUGAUGGUGGGAACUCAUGGGAUACUGCCGUGGUCAACACGGAGGAAGGUGGGGAUGACGUCAAAUCAUCAUGCCCCUUAUGUCUUGGGCUUCACGCAUGCUACAAUGGCCGGUACAAAGGGCUGCGAUACCGUAAGGUGGAGCGAAUCCCAAAAAGCCGGUCUCAGUUCGGAUUGGGGUCUGCAACUCGACCCCAUGAAGUCGGAGUCGCUAGUAAUCGCAGAUCAGCAACGCUGCGGUGAAUACGUUCCCGGGCCUUGCACACACCGCC
This 1331-nucleotide ribosomal RNA is filed under the name uncultured bacterium. RNAcentral describes it as "bacterial SSU rRNA". It matches the Rfam family "Bacterial small subunit ribosomal RNA", at positions 28 to 1394 of the family's 1533-position model. The record is from RNAcentral.